UCGGCACGUGUUCAGCAACAACAACAAGGCAGUGCCAGCACUAAUUUGUUGCCAGCAACAUGUACCCAGCAACAUAGUGAGAGCGAGAGGGAGAGCGCAGCAGUAAGCUGCCAGCUGAUGCGCACGGUUCCGAUUUCGAGUGAUUUAUGGGCAAUGCAAUCAGACAUACGCGAUAUGGAGCCUCGACGCUCGAGUCUGUGUAUUAGAUUUGAUAUAUGUGUGUUUUGGGGGCACGCGCAGGAUGUUGUCGUUGUUCCAACAAUUAACGCAUGCGUGCGAAUCGAAGAUUGGCAUCGGCUAUAGCUGUAGCUGUAACUAACUCUGCACUAGUGCAGUUGUGUGGGUAUUUCAGCUGCGUUCAUACAAUUUUCUAUCUGGUUGGCACACGACUUUUUGCUGCUGCUGACGAUGCCACAGCAGCCAGCACAGCUACAA
Molecule: long non-coding RNA, 435 nt
Organism: Drosophila busckii
Lineage: Eukaryota; Metazoa; Arthropoda; Insecta; Diptera; Drosophilidae
Exons: 3
Source: RefSeq, a predicted model, not a curated record